AGGCCUUGUUCGAUUUCAUAGGAUUUCAAGGGGUUUGAAGGGGAUUGAAAGGAUUAAAUCCUCAGCAAAUCAAAAUCCACCUCAAACCCUUUCAAUCCCCUCCAAUCCCCUUGUGGUGGAGAUUAACCGAACAAGCCCCUAGGGGGCUGCGCCACUCAGGGCACCCGGUUGGCUCGCCGACAGGUGGGGGCUACAUGUCGGGUUUGUCUCCUUCCUCUCGCGUGCUGCGACAGAACGAGGGGCGAGCUCCAGCAGCGAUUGCCGGUGCUACGAGGCACCUCUCCCGGAGCUGCACAUACGGGCGUGCUCACGAGGGAUGGCCCCAUCCUCUAGAGGACAAAAGUAUCACCGGAGGGCUCGGAGGCAAGCGCCUCCUCAUCCAUGGUGGACGGUGGCUUGGGCACACUAGCAAUCCUACCACGACCUGCUAUGGAUGGAUUUGGUCAUGGGAAUGGAUCGUAGGGAGCAUGGGGAGGCUAGCCAUGGCCAAGGGAAUACCACAAAGGCUCGGGGCUGCCGGAAUUUAGCCGGAGAUGGGCGGCGGCGCUGCGGUCAGAGGGGAGCAGAGCGAGCGGCUCCGGCCAAAUUGAAGCGACGGGGAGGCACAUGCGGGUCG
Molecule: long non-coding RNA, 616 nt
Filed under: Hordeum vulgare
Lineage: Eukaryota; Viridiplantae; Streptophyta; Magnoliopsida; Poales; Poaceae
Description: long non-coding RNA (HVUL_LNC003413)
Source: RNAcentral